GCUAAAAGUCUUCAUGCUAGCAUGGAUAACAUUCUGGAUGAAAUUGCCCAGUUGAAACACAAGCAAACAUAAGUUAAAGCAGCACUAACAAAUGCUAAAUGGAAGCAAUCUAAUCUGACCUCGUAGAAUAUUAAAGCUUGUUUCAGCACAAGAAGUAGAAAGAAAGCGUGGAGUUCCGUUAGAUCAAACAGAAGAACAGAUUCGUAUGAGAUUAGAGGAUUUAUAUCUGCAGUUGAUGCAACCUACACAGUACAGGGGCUGCCUGAAUGAGCUCAUGGCGCAGAUGUCUGUCAAACCAGGGAACUCGAGAGGAAAUCCACAGCUAUUGGUUUGGUUGGGGACAAAGAAAAGGAC
This is a long non-coding RNA of Macrobrachium nipponense, 354 nucleotides long. RefSeq lists it as uncharacterized. The transcript has 3 exons. The record is from RefSeq and is a predicted model, not a curated record. Lineage: Eukaryota; Metazoa; Arthropoda; Malacostraca; Decapoda; Palaemonidae.